This is an RNA transcript of Fragaria vesca subsp. vesca, 1895 nucleotides long. RefSeq lists it as uncharacterized. The transcript is spliced from 2 exons. NCBI's taxonomy places the organism in Eukaryota, Viridiplantae, Streptophyta, Magnoliopsida, Rosales, Rosaceae. The record is from RefSeq and is a predicted model, not a curated record.
AAAACGUCAUCACAUAACUUAAAACUUCUUAAAAGACAUGAUUUACAAUAUAAACAUCCUUAUUACAUCAUAAGGGUCUCAACGACAAUUUACUUAUAUUAAUAACAUUUUACUUGUAUAACAACACAUCUUUUAUUUUAUUGGUAUACAUAAUUGUCUAACUUGUAAGAUGAAAUUUGACUGACUUUGUAUUUCUGUUUUUCUUUUUUUAAAGAAAAUCAAUUUGGCUUGCCAUCCCCGAUGCGUUUUCUCUCUGCAACUCAUCUUCCCCAAUUCUAUCAAAGGAAAAAACUCAUCUCCCCAGUUUUCUUCAUUUAUCCUCUGCAAAUUCAACCCCUAAAACUUCAAUUUUCUCUUCCCCAAAAGACUCCAGCCGCGCGUCUCUCUCCAAUCCCCAGCUUCAAAUCUUGAGGUAAAACUGACCCACCCUGCCACCAAAAACCUCAUUGCCUGAGCACAACUCAUCAUCUCCACCAACGUCGUUGCCAUGGUUGUCCUCACUAAACUCACAUCCGCCUGCACGCCUUCCGAUGUAGACUUCAACCACUAGAAUUACCAAAGCGCUUUCUCUCCUCUACAAUCUCGGUCAAAGUUCGACACAUCGCCCUUUAUCAUCAGCGUCGCCGGUGCCGACGAUAAGUUUCGCCGCCAACAAUAUGUGCCUUUCCGCUGUCACCCACCGAUGAAGGUUACCGGAUAAACUUGUCCUAUUCUUCGGUCACAGAUGUAGGGCUGUUAUCUCUCGCAAACAUCAACCGCCUUCAGAACAUGACUAUUUUGCACUUGACAGGAUUGAGUCCAAAAUUGUUAAUCCUCAUUGCUGAUCAAUUAUAUUUGCUAUAGUUGUUUGGUAAAAAUUAUGUUUAGUACCUCACACAAAACAUGGAACACUGAUCAAAGGCUUUUUAAUUAUAUCAUCAAAAUCAAAAGGCUUGAAGCCAAUUUGGAAUAUGCAUUACAUAGCUAAACUGUACUACUAACAAAAAAGGAACAAUCACAGACUAAUACUGCUGGAGCUGCCUGGAGGGAAUGCUCAAGUGAUGAGGCACUUAAGUGAAGGGAUCACCAAAUUUUGAGUUAAAGGAAUGCUUCUCUUCCAUCUUCACUAGAUUUUGGAUUCAAGCCAUCCAAUUCAAAUUUUCACAACCUGCAUACUCUGACUUAUUGAAGUGAUUGAAGAGCUUCUUUAUCUCCAUCUUUGAUAGAAUCUACAUCAAACUAUGAGUUAGCAGUAACCAAGUAGACUAUAUGUAAAUAGACAAAAUUUCACACUAGUGUUUUUCACCAGUAAAAGGAAAUAACUCAAGUGAUGCUAUAACAAAAACAGCACCUAAGCAAACUAAAAACAACCCAGCAAGUUUUGAAACUAAAUAAUCAGUACUUCAUUACGUAAUUGCCAUGUUAAACAUUUUAACUUCAGCAAACAGAAGUGAAACUAAAUAUUGUAUUUGAGAUAGCUGCACCCACACAAUCCACAUAUGUAUUUGAGAACAAUAAAGUGUUAUGAAGUGAGUGACUCAUUUACUCCACGAGUGUUAUGAGGUACCAUAUAUACAAUUUCUAUGGACAGUACUUCAUGCUGAAAUGACACUAACACUAACAAAUAAACAAAAGGGUAAUGAUUGGCUACACAAGUAAAUAAAAAAAAACGUAGAGCUUGUUUACUUAUGUCCUUGUUAAUUUUAGUGGAUACCUCCAUUUGUCUAUUCCAGUACAUUUUUGCAGAACUGACCAAACACAGAUUUGCAUAACAAGCUACACAAGUAAAUAAAACCACUCAAAUGGCUUUCAUAGUUAACAGGUAUGAAGAUAGAUCUAGCUAGAGAAUUGUCAAGCAAUUGCCUUGAGUUUUACAAGGAAACAACUCCCUAGUCAAUUGCUUUGAGUCAAUAAUC